AUUGAACGCUGGCGGCAGGCUUAACACAUGCAAGUCGAGCGGGGUGAUGGUGCUUGCACUAUCACUUAGCGGCGGACGGGUGAGUAAUGCUUAGGAAUCUGCCUAUUAGUGGGGGACAACAUCUCAAAAGGGAUGCUAAUACCGCAUACGUCCUACGGGAGAAAGCAGGGGAUCACUUGUGACCUUGCGCUAAUAGAUGAGCCUAAGUCGGGUUGGCUAGUUGGUGGGGUAAAGGCCUACCAAGGCGACGAUCUGUAGCGGGUCUGAGAGGAUGAUCCGCCACACUGGGACUGAGACACGGCCCAGACUCCUACGGGAGGCAGUAGUGGGGAAUAUUGGACAAUGGGGGGAACCCUGAUCCAGCCAUGCCGCGUGUGUGAAGAAGGCCUUAUGGUUGUAAAGCACUUUAAGCGAGGAGGAGGCUCCUUUGGUUAAUACCCAAGAUGAGUGGACGUUACUCGCAGAAUAAGCACCGGCUAACUCUGUGCCAGCAGCCGCGGUAA
This 503-nucleotide ribosomal RNA is filed under the name uncultured bacterium. RNAcentral describes it as "partial 16S ribosomal RNA". It matches the Rfam family "Bacterial small subunit ribosomal RNA", at positions 30 to 523 of the family's 1533-position model. The record is from RNAcentral.